This 258-nucleotide ribosomal RNA is filed under the name uncultured Enterococcus sp. RNAcentral describes it as "partial 16S ribosomal RNA". It matches the Rfam family "Bacterial small subunit ribosomal RNA", at positions 355 to 606 of the family's 1533-position model. The record is from RNAcentral. Lineage: Bacteria; Bacillati; Bacillota; Bacilli; Lactobacillales; Enterococcaceae.
UAGGGAAUCUUCGGCAAUGGACGAAAGUCUGACCGAGCAACGCCGCGUGAGUGAAGAAGGUUUUCGGAUCGUAAAACUCUGUUGUUAGAGAAGAACAAGGACGUUAGUAACUGAACGUCCCCGACGGUAUCUAACCAGAAAGCCACGGCUAACUACGUGCCAGCAGCCGCGGUAAUACGUAGGUGGCAAGCGUUGUCCGGAUUUAUUGGGCGUAAAGCGAGCGCAGGCGGUUUCUUAAGUCUGAUGUGAAAGCCCGCC